Molecule: long non-coding RNA, 2545 nt
Organism: Astatotilapia calliptera (eastern happy)
Lineage: Eukaryota; Metazoa; Chordata; Actinopteri; Cichliformes; Cichlidae
Source: Ensembl
UUUGGAUGAAAAAUGACGUUUAUUACAAACACAGAGAGCUGUUAGCAGUCAGUUAGCAGCUGUUAGUUCUGUACAAAUAACACUGGUUGAUUGGUUAGUUGAGUUUGCCAGUCGGCAACAAGGCUGGGUCUCAAACAGCACCCUAUGCCUUUGUAGUGUACUAUUUUUCAUCCUAAACCUUAGUACACUACCUUUCACCUCAAACCAUUCAUAGUGCACUGAUUUCUAAGCUGUGUGCUAUUUCCAAACUUAUAACACCUCUAUAGUGCACAGUUAUCCAUCUUAAACCUUUAAUCAUGGUCCACAUUUUAUUUUAAGCUUUACUUUGUAGCACCUUCAUUGUGAAAUACUUUUAACUUUCAAACUCUUCAUAAUGCACAGCUUUCCACCUGUUGGAGUUCCUUUUGAAAUGCUCGGCAAUCAAAUCGAAACCCUUCUGGUGCACUCCGAGUUCCAAAGUUGUGACCUUGCUCAUGUUUUAAGCAUUUUGAACACUAUAAUAAUUUUUUUUUUUUUUUUUUUUUGCAUUGACAGUUAUCACACUGACACAAAAUCCUUUGCCAGCUCUGUAAAAGGACCAAAGUGGCAUCUGUUUUUAAGGGUCAUUCACCUGACGAAUGUCAUGUUGAUGUUAAGUAGCUUGAAGGUCUUUAAGGACUCGAUAUUAACUUAUAUUUUAGACAGUCAUAAUUUGUGUUUGCAUGUUUAUGUGAAGAAGUGGAUGUUGGUAUUUAUAAUGACUAUUACAAGACAUUAACACUGUCUUUUUCUGCUUUUUCACUACAAACUUGGACAUUUGUGUAAUUUGUUUCCAGUUUCCUGAAAAGGCCUGCUGCUGUUUAGCUGCAAAUUAACAAGUAUUUUGAAGAAACCAGUUUAUCCCCAAUUAUAAAGGAAAAAGAGUAACUAAUCAUCAUAUUCAACAUUUUAAUAAUAAUAAUAGUAAAAGAAAAUUCAGUAUCAGGGAGUAUGAGAAAUAGUUUGUAUACUGACAUCUGUUUCCUUAAAAAGAUGAGAAACAGUAGAUUGGUCACACUAUACUGUUUUGUUUUACUGUUUCUCUUGUGAGAAAUCAGCACUAUAGUGUUUUAUCAGUCUAAAAUACUAAAGAAAAGAAUUUACACUGCUGAACGGAAGCUCAGAUACAGCAGGGAUAACCGCUAGCAAGGAUGUUUGUUUUUUUUAGAGAACAGUUUAUUAACUAUUUAUUAAUAAACAGUUUAUUAACUAUUUUUCAGCCAGUAUACAACAAGCAGACAGGAACGCUUCCCUUCAUAAUUACAGCCACGAAUUACAAACUGUUCAACAAAUGUGAUAAAAUGUUGUGUAAUUUGCAGCUAAACGUUAGAUUUUUAAUAUAAUAUUUAAGAGAUUUAACACAAAAUUACCCAGUAAAGUAAAUGUUGCCAAACAGCGUAAUAUUUAACCCAAAGUACCAUCUUGAACCAGAAAGUUAUGGACAAUCUGAUGUCCACCAUUCAGCUUAGAAAAAUAUUUGAAACAGACUGAAUCAAAGCUAUGCUGCCAAACAUAGUUUGACAUUUAGUAGAAAGCCAGGUUUGCAGUAGCUGGGACAAAAAGUCUAAUGAAUGUCAUAGUCAAGUGCCAUCGGUGUGUGUUGCCCUUUAAGAAAACAUUAGGUUUCCUUCAAGUCUGUCUUAAUAUACUAGUCCCAAUCACAUUCCAUAUGCACAUUAAGAGAAGCUUUAGUAACAUAUUUUCCUUUGAAACCUGCACAGGAAUCAGGUGUUUCUUGGUUUCUGUUGUAGCUUUUUUUUUUUUUUUUUUUUUUUUUUUUUUUAAAACCAAAAAAGUUCCCAAACAAAUUUAAUAAUCUGGAAAUGCUACAAGCUACCUAUUUCAUUGGGCAUUUAUUGUUUACAAAUGCAAAUACAGUUUAAACAGCUAAAUCAUAGAUGGUUAAUAGUUUUGAGAUUUGUAUUCUGUAUUUGAUUUCUUGAUCCUUAAAAAAUUAUCCAGAAAGGACAGACUGAGCUUAAGCUAUAUGCGUAUAUCACCAUAUGUUGAUGAUGUGAUUCUGUUUUAUUACCAAAUUACACAAAUCACUUCAAACCCACCCUAAAGGUCCAGCUAAGUGACUUCAAAAUAACUAAGGUGAAACCUUGCAGACAGCUACACUAUAGUCACCUGUCACUCAACAAGGCCCCACCCCUAAUAACGCAAACAUUAAGCCUUAAUGCAGUUUAAACAUGUGAGUUAUGAACUAAAUUCAGCCCCAUACAGUUGUUACAAAGGGGGAAACUAGACCAAAACUGUUUUCUGUAGCAGGCUGAAGUUGGACAUUUUAACAUGGGAGACUAAGUAUAGGGACUCAUUUUUGCAGCAUCAAGUGGACAUUAGAGGAACUGAAAGUUUUGUUAGUGUUAUUAUAAUUCUGCUAACAGAAACCAGAAAGCUGUUGCCAACAGGUUGUACAUUUUUAGAUCAGUUUAAAGAAGUUAUAUUAAGAUAGACUUGAAAGAACUCAAACUUUUCCUUUAACACCAGUUAAAUCAUUCAUAGUUUGCUUCAUAGCUCACUAUCC